This 749-nucleotide ribosomal RNA is filed under the name uncultured bacterium. RNAcentral describes it as "bacterial SSU rRNA". It matches the Rfam family "Bacterial small subunit ribosomal RNA", at positions 60 to 794 of the family's 1533-position model. The record is from RNAcentral.
AGUCGAACGAACUUAAUAUCUUGCUUGCAAGGUAAGCGGUUAGUGGCGGACUGGUGAGUAACACGUAAGAAAUCUGCCUAUCAGAGGGGAAUAACAGUGAGAAAUCACUGCUAAUACCGCAUAUGCCAUAAACAUCGCAUGAUGUUAGUGGGAAAGAAGCAAUUCGCUGAUAGAUGAGCUUGCGGCUGAUUAGCUAGUUGGUGGGGUAAAGGCCUACCAAGGCGACGAUCAGUAGCCGGACUGAGAGGUUGAACGGCCACAUUGGGACUGAGACACGGCCCAGACUCCUACGGGAGGCAGCAGUAGGGAAUUUUCGUCAAUGGGCGCAAGCCUGAACGAGCAAUGCCGCGUGAACGAGGAAGGUCUUCGGAUCGUAAAGUUCUGUUGAAGGGGAAAAAGAGCGGAGAGAGGAAAUGGUCUCCGAUUGAUAUUACCCUUCGAGGAAGUCACGGCUAACUACGUGCCAGCAGCCGCGGUAAUACGUAGGUGGCGAGCGUUAUCCGGAAUGAUUGGGCGUAAAGGGUGCGUAGGCGGCCUGCUAAGUCUGGAGUGAAAGGUACCGGCUCAACCGGUAUAGGCUCUGGAAACUGGCGGGCUAGAGAGCAGGAGAGGGCGGUGGAACUCCAUGUGUAGCGGUAAAAUGCGUAGAUAUAUGGAAGAACACCAGUGGCGAAGGCGGCCGCCUGGCCUGUUACUGACGCUGAGGCACGAAAGCGUGGGGAGCAAAUAGGAUUAGAUACCCUAGUAGU